Molecule: ribosomal RNA, 442 nt
Filed under: uncultured bacterium
Lineage: Bacteria
Description: partial 16S ribosomal RNA
Rfam family: Bacterial small subunit ribosomal RNA
Source: RNAcentral
CCUACGGGAGGCUGCAGUGGGGAAUAUUGGGCAAUGGGCGAAAGCCUGACCCAGCAACGCCGCGUGAAGGAAGAAUGCUUUCGGGUUGUUAACUUCUUUUUACAUGGAAGUGCAGAAGACGGUACCUGUCGAAUAAGCUACGGCUAACUACGUGCCAGCAGCCGCCGUAAUACGUAGGUGGAAAGCGUUGUCCGGAUUUACUGGGUGUAAAGGGCGUGUAGCCGGGCUGACAAGUCAGAUGUGAAAUCCGGGGGCUCAACCCCCGAACUGCAUUUGAAACUGUUGGUCUUGAGUAUCGGAGAGGCAGGCGGAAUUCCUGGUGGAGCGGUGAAAUGCGUAGAUAGUAGGAGGAACACCAGUGGCGAAGGCGGCCUGCUGGACGACAACUGACGGUGAGGCGCGAAAGCGUGGGGAGCAAACAGGAUUAGAUACCCGUGUAGUC